CAAAGACGUAGCUCUUCAGAUGAAGAUUUAUCAUGGGACCAAUGUAAUGGACACACUUUGGUGCCAAAACCUGCAUUCCUCUACUGCGGUCACACUUCAAGAAGGACUUCAAAACGGACUUUACCGUAAAGAAUUUGAAUUCAAGAACAACAAAUCACCAGCUGACAGGUUGGGGAUUAGCAGGACUGCCUUCAAAGCCAAGUCUAUGUGAAGAGCCUCUCAGUGGUUGCUGCAGUGUACCCAAGAGGCAUCGGGAGCUACUCCUUUACCACUACACUAUGUCUCCCUGUCAUGGCUUUUGCGCCAUCAGUACAGAUACCAACACAUCUUGACCAGCAAAGUCUAUUUUAUGUCCAUGACUUUAAAAAUAUCCUCUCCUGUUGUCCUGGUUUCCAGUGGUUUGCAGAAGAGGAUGUCCUCCUUAAUUGACCCCCCAUAAACAUAACUGCCAUGUGUCAGGCCCUGUAACGCAUAGAAUUCACUGGAUUGUAUG
Molecule: long non-coding RNA, 493 nt
Organism: Oncorhynchus tshawytscha (Chinook salmon)
Lineage: Eukaryota; Metazoa; Chordata; Actinopteri; Salmoniformes; Salmonidae
Source: Ensembl